This 460-nucleotide ribosomal RNA is filed under the name uncultured bacterium. Its description in RNAcentral is "partial 16S ribosomal RNA". It matches the Rfam family "Bacterial small subunit ribosomal RNA", at positions 338 to 795 of the family's 1533-position model. The record is from RNAcentral.
CCUACGGGUGGCAGCAGUGAGGAAUAUUGGUCAAUGGACGAGAGUCUGAACCAGCCACGUAGCGUGAAGGAUGACUGCCCUCUGGGUUGUAACCUUCUUUUAUAUGGGAAUAAAAUGUUCCACGUGUGGGACUUUGUAUGUACCAUAUGAAUAAGGGUCGGCUAACUCCGUGCCAUCAGCAGCGGUAAUAUGGAGGAUCCGAGCGUGAGCCGGAUGUAUUGGGCUUAAGGGGAGUGUAGGUGGUUUGUUAAGUCAGUUGUGAAAGUUUUGGGCUCAACGGUAAAAUUGCAGUUGAAACUGGCAGUCUUGAGUACAGUAGAGGUGGGCGGAAUUCGUGGUGUAGCGGUGAAAUGCUUAGAUAUCACGAAGAACUCCGAUUGCGAAGGCAGCUCACUGGACUGCAACUGACACUGAGGCGCGAAAGUGUGGGUAUCAAACAGGAUUAGAUACCCUAGUAGUC